Molecule: ribosomal RNA, 374 nt
Filed under: uncultured bacterium
Lineage: Bacteria
Description: bacterial SSU rRNA
Rfam family: Bacterial small subunit ribosomal RNA
Source: RNAcentral
UACGAAGGGGGCUAGCGUUGCUCGGAAUUACUGGGCGUAAAGGGCGCGUAGGCGGAUAGUUUAGUCAGAGGUGAAAGCCCAGGGCUCAACCUUGGAAUUGCCUUUGAUACUGGCUAUCUUGAGUAUGGAAGAGGUAUGUGGAACUCCGAGUGUAGAGGUGAAAUUCGUAGAUAUUCGGAAGAACACCAGUGGCGAAGGCGACAUACUGGUCCAUUACUGACGCUGAGGCGCGAAAGCGUGGGGAGCAAACAGGAUUAGAUACCCUGGUAGUCCACGCUGUAAACGAUGAGUGCUAGUUGUCGGCAUGCAUGCAUGUCGGUGACGCAGCUAACGCAUUAAGCACUCCGCCUGGGGAGUACGGUCGCAAGAUUAAA